GAUGAACGCUGGCGGCGUGCCUAAUACAUGCCAGUCGAGCGAACAGACGAGGAGCUUGCUCCUUCGACGUUAGCGGCGGACGGGUGAGUAACACGUAGGUAACCUACCUAUAAGACUGGGAUAACUUCGGGAAACCGGAGCUAAUACCGGAUAAUAUUUCGAACCGCAUGGUUCGAUAGUGAAAGAUGGCUUUGCUAUCACUUAUAGAUGGACCUGCGCCGUAUUAGCUAGUUGGUAAGGUAACGGCUUACCAAGGCAACGAUACGUAGCCGACCUGAGAGAGUGAUCGGCCACACUGGAACUGGGACACGGUCCAGACGCCUACGGGAGGCAGCAGUAGGGAAUCUUCCGCAAUGGGCGAAAGCCUGACGGAGCAACGCCGCGUGAGUGAUGAAGAUCUUCGGAUCGUAAAACUCUGUUAUUAGGGAAGAACAAACGUGUAAGUAACUGUGCACGUCUUGACGGUACCUGAUCAGAAAGCCACGGCUAACUACGUG
RNAcentral lists this ribosomal RNA (497 nucleotides) under uncultured bacterium. RNAcentral describes it as "partial 16S ribosomal RNA". It matches the Rfam family "Bacterial small subunit ribosomal RNA", at positions 28 to 507 of the family's 1533-position model. The record is from RNAcentral.